Molecule: ribosomal RNA, 465 nt
Filed under: uncultured bacterium
Lineage: Bacteria
Description: bacterial SSU rRNA
Rfam family: Bacterial small subunit ribosomal RNA
Source: RNAcentral
CAAGUGGUGGAGCAUGUGGUUUAAUUCGAUGAUACGCGAGGAACCUUACCUAGGCUAGAAUGCGCGUGACCGGCUCAGAGAUGAGCCUUUCCUUCGGGACACAAAGCAAGGUGCUGCAUGGCCGUCGUCAGCUCGUGCCGUGAGGUGUUGGGUUAAGUCCCGCAACGAGCGCAACCCCUAUGUUUAGUUGCCAGCAUGUAAUGAUGGGGACUCUAGACAGACUGCCUGCGCAAGCAGUGAGGAAGGCGGGGACGACGUCAGGUCAUCAUGGCCCUUACGCCUAGGGCGACACACGUGCUACAAUGGACGGUACAGCGGGUAGCUACUGGGCGACCAGAUGCCAAUCUCGAAAAGCCGUUCUUAGUUCGGAUCGGAGUCUGCAACUCGACUCCGUGAAGCUGGAAUCACUAGUAAUCGCGCAUCAGCCAUGGCGCGGUGAAUACGUUCCCGGGCCUUGUACACACC